RNAcentral lists this ribosomal RNA (255 nucleotides) under uncultured prokaryote. RNAcentral's name for it is "partial 16S ribosomal RNA". It matches the Rfam family "Bacterial small subunit ribosomal RNA", at positions 521 to 774 of the family's 1533-position model. The record is from RNAcentral.
UAAUACGUAGGGGGCAAGCGUUGUCCGGAUUUAUUGGGCGUAAAGGGCUCGCAGGCGGCCUGGCCAAGUCGUGCGUGAAAUCUCUCGGCUUAACUGAGAGCGGUCGUGCGAUACUGGUCGGCUUGAGGCCGGUAGGGGGAAGCGGAAUUCCGGGUGUAGUGGUGGAAUGCGUAGAUAUCCGGAGGAACACCAGUGGCGAAGGCGGCUUCCUGGACCGGUCCUGACGCUCAGGAGCGAAAGCGUGGGUAGCAAACA